Molecule: non-coding RNA, 384 nt
Organism: Pseudoflavonifractor capillosus ATCC 29799
Lineage: Bacteria; Bacillati; Bacillota; Clostridia; Eubacteriales; Oscillospiraceae
Rfam family: transfer-messenger RNA
About the family: Bacterial tmRNA, also known as 10Sa RNA or SsrA, is named for its dual tRNA and mRNA-like properties. Its role is to liberate the mRNA from a stalled ribosome. To accomplish this part of the tmRNA is used as a reading frame that ends in a translation stop signal.
Source: Rfam
GGGGGCGUACUGGUUUCGACGGGGUAAAUACUUGCAGACAAGCAUGGGGAAGCGUGGACCUUCCUAAAAAUCCACACAAGCAUAAAUGCCAAUCAGAAUUCUUUUGAGGUGCCCGUAGCGGCUUAACCUCUUACCGGAGCUGUUGUUCCGGGACAUCUCACACGGCAACAGUGCCCCAUCCUACUACACCGUGUGGGCGGCAUUGAAGAUGGGACAAACCAGGCAAGGGGCAAGCCAUGCGCCUGGAAAGUAAGAAAUGGCUGUCCGCUAGGUCUAUGGAGGAUGCCAACCACCAAGGACUGGUGUAAGUAAAAAUGGCUAACCAUGUAGAAACUCUGUAUAGGUUUAUUUCGGACGCGGGUUCGAUUCCCGCCGCCUCCACCA